CAAUACAAUGCUAUGUCAUAUUUUGACACUUUUUUAAAUAAAUAUUUUAAGAGGAAAGCUCUUCACCGAAAGGUACUUUUCAAGGAGGUCCUCUUUCGAGUAAAGUGGAAUUUUUUUCUUCUCAUUCUGAUUUCGACUUCACUCUGCGGUAUCGAGCGUUUUCAAAACUGUUCAAAUUCAAAACUGUUAUAUAUCGUUCUCAUUAUGCCAGAAUAGAAAUCCAUUUAACUGAACUCAAUCGUUUGAUAAGCACACGUACUGGGAAAUUGGACAACACAAUUAAAUACUUAUUAGAUUUUACGAGAUGUUUAAGUAAUAUUUAUAAUCAGAAAAUACAUUUUCAUUUGACAACGAAUCUCAGUCCUUUUCCUUGUCGAUGGAUACCUCUGGACAAUGUAAUUUUUUGUGAAUAAGUAAUUUUCCUUUAAAACAUUUUCCAUUUCAAUCCAUUCUCGUCCCCAGAGCCAUUUUCACUCGCGCGUGGCCGAGAGGCCCUUGGAACGAGGUUGACUCAUGACUCACGUGUAUGUUCAGGCCUGUUAGCCUUACAUAUUGUACCCAAACGUAGCGUAUGGCUUUUGUUUCACGAGCAUUGAAAUGGCACUAAUGACUGCGCAAGCUAAAACAAACAAAAAAAAGUUUAAAAAAAUUUAGAAAAAAAAUUUAAAAAAAAUUUCUACAAAAGAAAAUUCUACGCUACGUUAGGCCUAUAAGACACGAUUGAAUUGGAAAACAGCAUUGAAAUGAAUAGAACUGAAACGCUAUCUUCAGAUUUGGGAACUGAAACGCUAUCUGGGAUUCAGAUUUGGCUUCAAGAAAAAGAUAGGCAGAUUAUCUGAAGGUAAACAGACACAAUGUGUAGCACUUGUCAUAUGUUUUCUGAAGCCAAAUAAAUCCUAAUUCUUGUUCAAACACUGAACAAUGUUGAACAGAACCGUUUUCACGAGACACAAGGUGAAUACAAUAUUCCCAGCGUCAUUACGGUCGCCAAUCACUGCAUUGUAACUACUUGUAACAAUCGAUCAGGUGCAGAUGUCUUUAUGAAUCUUUGCAAAUGAGUUUCCAAUUUGCAACACUAUCUUUCGUGAAAGCAACCAAGUAUUCACAAAACAUAUAUAAGUCUUUGACAGUUUACACCUCUUUCAAAACCUUUCCUUCAGAAGUCCUGUACGGUCACAUAAAGUGAAAAUGAAAUAUGUUGCUAUAUCACGCCUGUCGUUCGGUAAACAUCAUUAUAAACAUAGUAUAACUAAUUGAUAUUUGAAUUCAGCUGUAAUUACAUUCGCAAGACUGAAGCAUUUAUAUUUCCAAUUCACUGCUUUGGCGGCUUGCAUAUCUUUUGUCGUGGUUUUGACAC
Paramuricea clavata is the source of this 1357-nucleotide non-coding RNA. The record is from the annotation of a GenBank genome assembly. Lineage: Eukaryota; Metazoa; Cnidaria; Anthozoa; Malacalcyonacea; Plexauridae.